GGCUGGUCUGAAGGUAGUGAGUUAUCUAAUUUGUUCACAGUCAGUUAUAGAUCAAUCUCCUUGUUCUGCUCUUUCCCCCCUUUUCACUACUGCACUUGACUAUAGUCUUAA
Molecule: unclassified non-coding RNA, 111 nt
Organism: Gorilla gorilla gorilla (western lowland gorilla)
Lineage: Eukaryota; Metazoa; Chordata; Mammalia; Primates; Hominidae
Rfam family: Y RNA
About the family: Y RNAs are components of the Ro ribonucleoprotein particle (Ro RNP), in association with Ro60 and La proteins. The Y RNAs and Ro60 and La proteins are well conserved, but the function of the Ro RNP is not known.
Source: Ensembl